RNAcentral lists this ribosomal RNA (423 nucleotides) under uncultured marine bacterium. RNAcentral describes it as "bacterial SSU rRNA". It matches the Rfam family "Bacterial small subunit ribosomal RNA", at positions 958 to 1380 of the family's 1533-position model. The record is from RNAcentral.
AACGCGAAGAACCUUACCUGGUCUUGACAUCCUGAGAACUUUCUAGAAAUAGAUUGGUGCCUUCGGGAACUCAGUGACAGGUGCUGCAUGGCUGUCGUCAGCUCGUGUCGUGAGAUGUUGGGUUAAGUCCCGUAACGAGCGCAACCCCUAUCCUUAUUUGCCAGCACAUCAUGGUGGGAACUAUAAGGAGACUGCCGGUGAUAAACCGGAGGAAGGCGGGGACGACGUCAAGUCAUCAUGGCCCUUACGACCAGGGCUACACACGUGCUACAAUGGGAAGGACAAAGAGCCGCGAAGCCGCGAGGUGUAGCUAAUCUCAGAAACCUUUUCGUAGUCCGGAUUGGAGUCUGCAACUCGACUCCAUGAAGUCGGAAUCGCUAGUAAUCGUAGAUCAGAAUGCUACGGUGAAUACGUUCCCGGGUC